RNAcentral lists this ribosomal RNA (253 nucleotides) under uncultured bacterium. RNAcentral's name for it is "partial 16S ribosomal RNA". It matches the Rfam family "Bacterial small subunit ribosomal RNA", at positions 524 to 776 of the family's 1533-position model. The record is from RNAcentral.
UACGUAGGGUGCAAGCGUUAAUCGGAAUUACUGGGCGUAAAGCGUGCGCAGGCGGUCUCGUAAGACAGGUGUGAAAUCCCCGGGCUUAACCUGGGAACUGCGCUUGUGGCUGCGAGGCUGGAGUGCGGAAGAGGGAGGUGGAAUUCCACGUGUAGCAGUGAAAUGCGUAGAGAUGUGGAGGAACACCGAUGGCGAAGGCAGCCUCCUGGUCUAGCACUGACGCUCAUGCACGAAAGCGUGGGGAGCAAACAGG